AAUCAAAUGUUCAGGAUUGCUGAA
RNAcentral lists this non-coding RNA (24 nucleotides) under Arabidopsis thaliana (thale cress). The record is from RNAcentral. Lineage: Eukaryota; Viridiplantae; Streptophyta; Magnoliopsida; Brassicales; Brassicaceae.